AAAUGAAUAGACGGGGGCCCGCACAAGCGGAGGAGCAUGUGGCUUAAUUCGAUGCAACGCGAAGAACCUUACCCGGGUUUGACAUGUGACUGCACGUCCUAUGAAAGUAGGACUCCUUCGAGGGUGUCACACAGGUGCUGCAUGGCUGUCGUCAGUUCGUGCCGUGAGGUGUUUGGUUAAGUCCAGCAACGAACGCAACCCCUAUGUUCUGUUACCAGCGGGUAAUGCCGGGGACUCAGAACAGACUGCCUAUUCACAUAGGAGGAAGGUGGGGACGACGUCAAGUCAGUAUGGCCCUUACGCCCGGGGCUGCACACGUGCUACAAUGGCCGGCACAAAGGGAAGCUAAACCGCGAGGUGGCGCAAAACCCCAGAACCGGCCCCAGUUCAGAUUGCGGUCUGCAACUCGACCGCAUGAAGUCGGAUUCGCUAGUAACGGCGCAUCAGCUACGGCGCCGUGAAUACGUUCCCGGGCCUUGUACACACCGCCCGU
This 493-nucleotide ribosomal RNA is filed under the name uncultured bacterium. RNAcentral's name for it is "bacterial SSU rRNA". It matches the Rfam family "Bacterial small subunit ribosomal RNA", at positions 903 to 1397 of the family's 1533-position model. The record is from RNAcentral.